RNAcentral lists this ribosomal RNA (253 nucleotides) under uncultured bacterium. Its description in RNAcentral is "partial 16S ribosomal RNA". It matches the Rfam family "Bacterial small subunit ribosomal RNA", at positions 524 to 776 of the family's 1533-position model. The record is from RNAcentral.
UACGUAGGAUGCAAGCGUUAUCCGGAAUCACUGGGCGUAAAGCGUCCGCAGGUGGGCAAGUAAGUCAAAUGUAAAAUGCCGGUGCUCAACAUCGGCAGCGUAUUUGAAACUGCUUGUCUAGAGGAUGGGAGAGGCUAGUGGAAUUCUCGGUGUAGGGGUAAAAUCCGUAGAUAUCGAGAGGAACACCAAAAGCGAAGGCAGCUAGCUGGAACAUUCCUGACACUCAUGGACGAAAGCGUGGGGAGCGAAAAGG